GAAAAUGUUUCCGUCAAUAUUCGUAUGUUUAUCUUUUAAUAAUUCAUUUAAUAAAAAUUUACUAGUUCAUAACAGUCUCCUGAUGCAAGUAAAUUGAUAAAUUAGUGACAAACUUAUCAAUUAGAAUAAAAAACAUAUAAUUAUUUUGAAAUAUUGCGUAUCUUGAACCAAACGAUCCCUUACGGUAAUAGCACAUUAGAAUCGACAAUCGAUUUCAUCAAAUAUAUUCUACACUAUUUAAAUUUUUUAUCAAUUAAAUUUUAUAAUUUUAUAAUAUUAUUUAACUAGUGAUUAAGUAGGGUUCAAUUUACUUAUAUUACCCAUUAAAAAUUACUUAUUUUUGAACCACUUAAAAGACAAAACAAAUAUUACCGAAAAAUUACAAAAUAUUUAUUUUAAAAAAUUUAAAUAUUAUAAAUUAUAUUUAAUAUAUUGUUGACCAUCAUCGACAUAGAAACUUUGAACUUUAUAAAAGAAAAGAGUAAACUUCAAAUAUAACUUCUCUGAUUUUACACUUUUUCAUUUUAGUAUCAUAUGGUUUAAAGUAUAUCAAUUUAGUAUUUUGUGAUUUUUUUUUUUUUCAUUAGCUUCUUUAUUAACAUUUCGUUAAAUUAUAUACAAAAAACUUCAGAUAUCCCAUCUGGAUUUAUCAAAUAUUCACUUUAGUACUUUUUAAUUUUAACUUUAUCAUUAAUUUAAUAAAAAUAAUAAUAAUAAAAAAAAUAAUCGGAUAUUAAAUUUAUAUAUUUUAAACCAUAAAAUAUUAAAAUUAAAAAAUAUGAAACCACGGAAAUGUUAUUUCAAGUUUUUUCCAAAAAAAGACCAUAAAUGAACCGAUAGCAUCAUUUUAGCUUUUAGCUCCUAUAAGCACUCCCUAUUAAUCACACGUCACAUUUUGUUCCUUUCUCUUUCUUUUAAAAAAGUUUACUGUAUAUAUACAUUUGUACCACAUUAUUAGUAAUAAAUUGAUCAUUUUUUUUAAUAAUAUAAUAAAAUAUUUUUUAUUAAUUAUGAUAAAAUAAAUAAAUCAAAAAAAUAAUUUUAUUAAUUAAAAACACCUCCCUUCCCCCCUACUACUAGGGGUGGAAACGAGCCGAGCUCGAGCGAGCUUAUGUCAGCUCAAAUUCGGCUUGAAAUUAAUUUCGAGCCUAAAUCUAGGCUCAAGCUCGGCUUGAAAUUAAUUUGAGCCGAGCUCGAGCGAGCCUAAUUUCGAGUCGAGCCGAGCUCGAGCUCUAAACGAGCCGAUUGAAAUUCUCGACAUUAUAUAAUCAACAGUUUAGUUUUUAUAUAACAUUACCUACAAUUUGAUGCAACAUGUCCAAUAGUUCAAAAUACAAAAUAAUUGCAAGAAAUGUGAGCUAUGAUGACAGCCUGACUGGAUGAGGGUCUGAGGGAGAACGAGAGAGAGAGAGAGAGAGAGAGAGGGGGGGAAAAAAAUUAGGGAUUUGAGAAUUUGAAUGUUAUCAUGUUUUAGGAUUAUGUGUAAUAGUGAAAGUCUGAAAGAGAUAGUGUGUUAUGUAAAUUUAGAGUUGGGCUCAAUUGCAUGGUUGUACUUAUUGGGUUUAUUUUAUGGGCCAACAAUAAUGGCUCAAAUUAAAUUAAAGCCUAUAUAUAAUUAAAAUACAUUAUAUAUAUAUAUAUAUAUAUGAGUCCGGCCGGGAUACUAUCGAUAGUACCAAGGAUUUGAUGCUAUCGAGUUUUCCACCGUUAGAUUUAACCCUCUGAUUAUUUUUACCCGUUAGAUUACAUUAUUCAACCAACCACUCAUUCAACCCUAGGAGGCCCACAUCAUUCUAACCACCCAUUUCUCAAAUAGCACCAAUAGCUUGGUGCUGUUGAUAGUAUUCCAGCCUAGUUCAUAUAUAUAUAUAUAUAUAUAUAUAUAUGAACUGAGCUCCUAUACUUUUAAAAGUACCAAGUUAUUGGUGCUUGUAAGUUUUCAACCUUUGGAUUAAGGGAUGUGCGGUUAGGAUGAUGUGGGCCUCCUAGGGUUGAGUGGGUGGUUGGUUGAAUAGUAUAAUCAACGGGUAAAAAUGAUCAAAGGCGUAGAUCUAACGGUAAAAAAUUUACAAGCACCAAAUGCUUGGUGCUUUUACAAGCACCAUAGCCGGACUCAUACAGAGUUGAGCUAUGAUACUUUUACAAGUAUCACCAUCAUGGUGCUAUUAGGUUUUAAGCUAUUGGAUCUAUUUUUUGAUUAUUAAUGGCCCUUGGAUUAAACACUAUUCCACCACCACCUACCCCCACUUACCACCAUCAUCUCAACCUCACAUCUCUCCAUCCAAGGGCUAAAAACACACAAGUAUCACCCCCAUGAUACUUUUACAAGUAUUCUAGCCCUACUCUAUAUAUAUAUAUAUAUAUAUAUAUAUAUAUUCGAGCUUUUCGAGCCUAAUUCGAACGAGCCGAGUAAUACUCAAGCUCGGCUUGAAAUGAAUUUCGAGCCUUUUAUUUUGUUCAAGCUCGGUUCAUUUAAUUUCGAGUCGAGCUCGGAUGAGCCAAAUAUCGAGUCGAACACGAGUC
Molecule: long non-coding RNA, 2523 nt
Filed under: Ananas comosus (pineapple)
Lineage: Eukaryota; Viridiplantae; Streptophyta; Magnoliopsida; Poales; Bromeliaceae
Description: long non-coding RNA (ACOM_LNC006394)
Source: RNAcentral